UACGUAGGGAGCAAGCGUUGUUCGGAUUUACUGGGCGUAAAGGGCGCGUAGGCGGCAUGGCAAGUGGAAGGUGAAAUCCCUCGGCUCAACUGAGGAACUGCCCUCCAAACUGCUUUGCUUGAGUCCGGGAGAGGUGAGUGGAAUUCCCAGUGUAGCGGUGAAAUGCGUAGAUAUUGGGAGGAACACCAGUGGCGAAGGCGGCUCACUGGACCGGAACUGACGCUGAGGCGCGAAAGCGUGGGGAGCAAACGGG
This 253-nucleotide ribosomal RNA is filed under the name uncultured bacterium. Its description in RNAcentral is "partial 16S ribosomal RNA". It matches the Rfam family "Bacterial small subunit ribosomal RNA", at positions 524 to 776 of the family's 1533-position model. The record is from RNAcentral.